UGGGGAAUAUUGGACAAUGGGCGCAAGCCUGAUCCAGCCAUGCCGCGUGAGUGAUGAAGGCCUUAGGGUUGUAAAGCUCUUUUAGCGGGGAAGAUAAUGACGGUACCCGCAGAAAAAGCCCCGGCUAACUUCGUGCCAGCAGCCGCGGUAAUACGAAGGGGGCUAGCGUUGCUCGGAAUUACUGGGCGUAAAGCGCACGUAGGCGGACUCUUAAGUCGGUGGUGAAAUCCUGGAGCUCAACUCCAGAACUGCCUUCGAUACUGGGAGUCUUGAGUUCUGGAGAGGUGAGUGGAACUGCGAGUGUAGAGGUGAAAUUCGUAGAUAUUCGCAAGAGCACCAGUGGCGAAGGCGGCUCACUGGCCCGAUACUGACGCUGAGGUGCGAAAGCGUGGGG
RNAcentral lists this ribosomal RNA (394 nucleotides) under uncultured bacterium. RNAcentral describes it as "bacterial SSU rRNA". It matches the Rfam family "Bacterial small subunit ribosomal RNA", at positions 355 to 766 of the family's 1533-position model. The record is from RNAcentral.